AUACGGAGGGUGCAAGCGUUAUUCGGAAUCACUGGGCGUAAAGGACGCGUAGGCGGGUUGGCAAGUCAGAUGUGAGAUCCUACAGCUUAACUGUAGAACUGCAUUUGAAACUGCUAACCUAGAGUAUGGGAGGGGGAGAUGGAAUUAGUGGUGUAGGGGUAAAAUCCGUAGAUAUCACUAGGAAUACCGAAAGCGAAGGCGAUCUCCUGGAACAUAACUGACGCUAAGGCGUGAAAGCGUGGGGAGCAAACAGGAUUAGAUACCCUAGUAGUCC
This 274-nucleotide ribosomal RNA is filed under the name uncultured bacterium. RNAcentral describes it as "partial 16S ribosomal RNA". It matches the Rfam family "Bacterial small subunit ribosomal RNA", at positions 523 to 796 of the family's 1533-position model. The record is from RNAcentral.